GACGAACGCUGGCGGCGUGCUUAACACAUGCCAGUCGAACGGAAAGGCCCUGCUUUUGUGGGAUGCUCGAGUGGCGAACGGGUGAGUAACACGUGAGUAACCUGCCCUUGACUUUGGGAUAACUUCAGGAAACUGGGGCUAAUACCGGAUAGGAGCUCCUGCUGCAUGGUGGGGGUUGGAAAGUUUCGGCGGUUGGGGAUGGACUCGCGGCUUAUCAGCUUGUUGGUGGGGUAGUGGCUUACCAAGGCUUUGACGGGUAGCCGGCCUGAGAGGGUGACCGGCCACAUUGGGACUGAGAUACGGCCCAGACUCCUACGGGAGGCAGCAGUGGGGAAUAUUGCACAAUGGGCGGAAGCCUGAUGCAGCAACGCCGCGUGCGGGAUGACGGCCUUCGGGUUGUAAACCGCUUUCGCCUGUGACGAAGCGUGAGUGACGGUAAUGGGUAAAGAAGCACCGGCUAACUACGUG
Molecule: ribosomal RNA, 468 nt
Filed under: uncultured bacterium
Lineage: Bacteria
Description: partial 16S ribosomal RNA
Rfam family: Bacterial small subunit ribosomal RNA
Source: RNAcentral